GUGCCAGCCGCCGCGGUAAUACGGAGGGGGCUAGCGUUAUUCGGAAUUACUGGGCGUAAAGCGCACGUAGGCGGAUUAGAAAGUCAGAGGUGAAAUCCCAGGGCUCAACCUUGGAACUGCCUUUGAAACUCCUAGUCUUGAGGUCGAGAGAGGUGAGUGGAAUUCCGAGUGUAGAGGUGAAAUUCGUAGAUAUUCGGAGGAACACCAGUGGCGAAGGCGGCUCACUGGCUCGAUACUGACGCUGAGGUGCGAAAGCGUGGGGAGCAAACAGGAUUAGAAACCCCUGUAGUCC
This 292-nucleotide ribosomal RNA is filed under the name uncultured bacterium. Its description in RNAcentral is "partial 16S ribosomal RNA". It matches the Rfam family "Bacterial small subunit ribosomal RNA", at positions 505 to 796 of the family's 1533-position model. The record is from RNAcentral.